This 206-nucleotide ribosomal RNA is filed under the name uncultured bacterium. RNAcentral describes it as "partial 16S ribosomal RNA". It matches the Rfam family "Bacterial small subunit ribosomal RNA", at positions 568 to 774 of the family's 1533-position model. The record is from RNAcentral.
CACGUAGGCGGCUUUCUAAGUCGGGGGUGAAAUCCUGGAGCUCAACUCCAGAACUGCCUUCGAUACUGGAGAGCUUGAGUCCGGGAGAGGUGAGUGGAACUGCGAGUGUAGAGGUGAAAUUCGUAGAUAUUCGCAAGAACACCAGUGGCGAAGGCGGCUCACUGGCCCGGUACUGACGCUGAGGUGCGAAAGCGUGGGAGCAAACA